UACGGAGGGUGCGAGCGUUGUCCGGAAUCACUGGGCGUAAAGGGCGCGUAGGCGGCGCGGGCAGUCAACGGUGAAAGCUUGGGGCUCAACCCCGAGUCGGCCGUCGAUACUCCCGUGCUGGAGCACUAGAGGCAGGUGGAAUUCCGGGUGUAGCGGUGGAAUGCGUAGAGAUCCGGAAGAACACCGGUGGCGAAGGCGGCCUGCUGGGCAGUAGCUGACGCUGAUGCGCGACAGCGUGGGGAGCAAACAGG
Molecule: ribosomal RNA, 251 nt
Filed under: uncultured bacterium
Lineage: Bacteria
Description: partial 16S ribosomal RNA
Rfam family: Bacterial small subunit ribosomal RNA
Source: RNAcentral